GUCGGGAUAGCUCAGCUGGUAGAGCAGAGGACUGAAAAUCCUCGUG
RNAcentral lists this transfer RNA (46 nucleotides) under Nymphaea odorata. Its description in RNAcentral is "partial transfer RNA-Phe". It matches the Rfam family "tRNA", at positions 1 to 45 of the family's 71-position model. Rfam says of the family: Transfer RNA (tRNA) molecules are approximately 80 nucleotides in length. Their secondary structure includes four short double-helical elements and three loops (D, anti-codon, and T loops). The record is from RNAcentral. Lineage: Eukaryota; Viridiplantae; Streptophyta; Magnoliopsida; Nymphaeales; Nymphaeaceae. RNAcentral also lists the same sequence under 31 other names.